CCGUGCAGCCGGGGAACUAGCGGUGCCCUGUACCUGCAAUCCGCUACAGCAGGGGUGAUGUUCUGCCCAGGGUGACUUACUGUAGGGCUGCCCCUUAUAAGUGAUGUUGACAUCCGGGUCUUGCGCAACAGGAAUUUGUGAACCGUGUCAGGUCAGGAAUGAAGCAGCACUAAGCAAAGACUCCUGUGUGCCGUAAGGUUGCCUGGAUCGAGUUAACUGUAAGGGUAACGCCUAUGGUAGGCAUUCAAAGCAGAACGCACGG
RNAcentral lists this signal recognition particle RNA (262 nucleotides) under Clostridiales bacterium. RNAcentral describes it as "signal recognition particle sRNA large type". It matches the Rfam family "Bacterial large signal recognition particle RNA". Rfam says of the family: The signal recognition particle (SRP) is a universally conserved ribonucleoprotein involved in the co-translational targeting of proteins to membranes. Archaeal SRP consists of a 7S RNA and homologues of the eukaryotic SRP19 and SRP54 proteins. In most bacteria, the SRP consists of a 4.5S RNA and the Ffh protein (a homologue of the eukaryotic SRP54 protein). Lineage: Bacteria; Bacillati; Bacillota; Clostridia; Eubacteriales. The record is from RNAcentral.